CCUACGGGAGGCAGCAGUAGGGAAUCUUCCACAAUGGGCGAAAGCCUGAUCGAGCAACGCCGCGUGGGUGAAGAAGGUCUUCGGAUCGUAAAACCCUGUUGUUAGAGAAGAAAGUGCGUGAGAGUAACUGUUCACGUUUCGACGGUAUCUAACCAGAAAGCCACGGCUAACUACGUGCCAGCAGCCGCGGUAAUACGUAGGUGGCAAGCGUUAUCCGGAUUUAUUGGGCGUAAAGGGAACGCAGGCGGUCUUUUAAGUCUGAUGUGAAAGCCUUCGGCUUAACCGGAGUAGUGCAUUGGAAACUGGGAGACUUGAGUGCAGAAGAGGAGAGUGGAACUACAUGUGUAGCGGUGAAAUGCGUAGAUAUAUGGAAGAACACCAGUGGCGAAAGCGGCUCUCUGGUCUGUAACUGACGCUGAGGUUCGAAAGCGUGGGUAGCAAACAGGAUUAGAUACCCCAGUAGUC
RNAcentral lists this ribosomal RNA (465 nucleotides) under uncultured bacterium. RNAcentral describes it as "partial 16S ribosomal RNA". It matches the Rfam family "Bacterial small subunit ribosomal RNA", at positions 338 to 795 of the family's 1533-position model. The record is from RNAcentral.